Molecule: ribosomal RNA, 25 nt
Filed under: Pestalotia lespedezae
Lineage: Eukaryota; Fungi; Ascomycota; Sordariomycetes; Amphisphaeriales; Amphisphaeriaceae
Description: Pestalotiopsis lespedezae partial 18S ribosomal RNA
Source: RNAcentral
CAAUGGCCGGAGAGGAGGGAUCAUU